RNAcentral lists this long non-coding RNA (19847 nucleotides) under Manihot esculenta (cassava). RNAcentral's name for it is "long non-coding RNA (MESC_LNC002158)". Lineage: Eukaryota; Viridiplantae; Streptophyta; Magnoliopsida; Malpighiales; Euphorbiaceae. The record is from RNAcentral.
UGGGAUGGUUUAGGGGGGCAAGUUAGACUUCCGAAAGUUUCAAAGGUUCGGCCGCCGAACCUCAUGUUCGGCCACCGAACUUGCAUGAGUUUUGAAGGCACUUUAGGCUGCCGAAAGGUGGUCUGCCAGCCCCUAUAUAAGAGCUCCAUGGCCGAAACGGGCGAGUUUUCUCCCCAUUUUCGGCCAUGGUGAGUUCUUGCUCUCCCAUGGUUCAUUUUAGAUGUUUUUCCUUCGAUCUUUCAUGUUUUAACAAGCUUUAUGUUGAUUUGAAGAUAUUUGAACAAAAGAGCGAGUUUUGGAAGCUUGGAGACCAAAGAGUUGAGAUCUCUCCCAUCUCCAAGUUGGAUCGUCUCUCCUCUCGUUCUUUAAGAGGUAAGAGUAGAUCCAUAGUUGCUUUAAUGUUUUAAGUAAGUUUUAUGAAGUUUCUUGGGGUAGAAAGGCAUGUGUAGGUUUAUGUGGAGUUUAUGGGUUUACUGUGUGUUUAUGAGCAAUGUAUGUUGGAUGUGAAUGUUUGAUGUGUUGUAGAUGGGGUUUAGGAUAGUUUGAAGCCCCUAGGAGCUUGUAUGCUUGAGUAUGCAUGUUGUAGAAUAGGUAAAUGCAUGAUUGAAUGAGUUGGGAGGCGUUUAUUGUAACGACCCCAAAAUGGAUCGUCACCGGCGCUAGAAUUCAGAUCGGCUUAUGGCCGCCAGAACCCGUAGCAAGCCAGCUAUACUCUCUGAGUACCUGUAACAUCUCAUACAUGGUCAUACAGUUUCUGUGCAAAUCAAACCUUUUCUCUGGACCAAGACUUAACCUGUGCAUGCACUAUUUCUGUACUCUGUACCCCUGACUAGAGUUUGCUCUAGAUGGGUGGAUUCAUACCUGUUAAGCCUAGUUGUUUUCACAUAUUCUGUAAACUAGUGAUAGAAACAGACCAUGUAUAAAAAAGAUUUACAACACAAAUAUAACUAAGUCAAGCACAAGGCUAACGUUAUACACAACUGCUACAUCUCUUUACUAUUACAUGUCCACAAUAAGCUAUUACAACACACUUCUCUCUUCCUGUAUCUUGCUGGACCUCCCCUGUACACUUUACACUAAACCUGCAAAACUGGGGUUAAGGGAGUGGGAUGAGCUCUAUAGCCCAGUGAGUAGAACAGUAAAGAGGUCAUUAACACAUGCUCUUAUGGAAUGCAUCAUAUCACAGACAAUUCACAUCAAGGGUAAACCUGUCACCAUAUAGUCCCAGUAACUGUUCCGUACCAGGCCGUAGACUGGGGUCCUGGUCUUCCUGUCCUGUAUAUGUAUAUGUAUAUGUGUAUAUAACACCCGUACUUACCAUUUGCCAGGGCGUAGACUGGGCACCUGGUCUUUACUAUACCUGCCAGGCCGUAGAAUGGGGUCCUGGACUUUUCUAUACUUGCCAGGCCGUAGAAUAGGGUCCUGGACUUCCUGUCUGGAACUAUUGGAUCAUUCAGCAUUCACCCACAUCAACAAAUAAGUAUGCAAUGCAACAUCUUCGUGGAUUCUAAUGCAAUCAACCUAUGGCAUAAGUAUGGUGCAUGAAAUAUGUGAAAAGCAUUCAAUGUCUCAAUUAAAACAAGUAUUAAGUUUAGUUCCACUCACCUCUAGCUAUCUGGAUUGACUCUGCAGGCUUUGUAAACUCUGGAGCAGUACUCACUGCUGCUCUCUCUGAUUCCUCUGGUCUGUGCCUACACAGAUAGACUCCAAUGAGGGACCAAAACUAGCUUAUGCACUCUAUUACACUCCCCAAGAAUCCCCUUAAACUCACUCAAACAUCCAUGCAAAGCAUGCAAAGGAAAACUGGACAUGACACUUUCGGCGGCAGGUUCGGCGGCCGAAAGUCCUCUCCAGAGCCGAAACUCAUGCACCUUCGGCAGUCGAAGCUCAACUUUCGGCAGCCGAACCCUUUCGGGGGCAAGUUUCGGGGACCGAAAGGCACUCCAGAGACGAAAGUCUCUAACCUUCGGGGGCACCUUCGGCGGCCGAAACCCCCCUCCAAAGCCGAAAGUCCAAAGGCUUGGGGGCAAGCUUAGGCAACCGAAGCCACAUCCUCAGCACAUUCGGCGGCCGAAGCUUUCUUCGGCGGCCGAAGCUGGGUUCAUCAGCAAGGCAGAACCUUGCUCUGCCUCACGCCAAAAUGCACCAAUCUUCCUCCAACUCAAACACCUCAACUCCUCAACAUGCAUACACCCAAGUAUAUGCUCAAAGGGGUCAGAACCUACCUGAAAACCCCAACAACACAAAACAUAUAACACAUAUACAAGCUUUUCUCACAAAAAUAUCAAAAACACUCUCUUUUACUCUAAUCAUGCAACUCUCCCCCAAAACCUCAAAACUCUUCCAAAAAGCAUAAAAACUAGUGGAGGAUCUUCACUUACCUCUUGAAACCAAGAAGAUGAAUGAUCCUAACGUGGAGUUUGAAGCAACUCUCCUUCAAACUCUCCAAACUUCAAAAUCUCAAGUGUUUAGCUCAAAACCUUUAAAAGAACAUCAAAAUCAAUCAAAUCUUUGCAUGAGUUGAUGAAAACAUGAAGAAAACUUAAGAAGGACAGAGUCUCACCUCAGAAAGUGAAAGGAAGCGGCAAAGCUUAUCCUUUCAACUGACUGAGGGCCUUUUAUAGGGGGCUGGCCACACCACCUUCGGCGGCCACACGUGAAACCGAAAGCCAUGCAUGUUCGGCGGCCGAACCUGGCUUUUCUGCCUUGGUUCUUUUCUCUCAAAAACUCGAUUCUUUUAAACUUGAAAACAUUAAAACAUACUACAUUACUUUAAACAAAACAUAAAACUCACCCUUCUCAAGAUUCUAACAUCCUGGAUUUCACCGGACGACAGGAAUUCCGAUGCCGGACUCUAGCCGGGUAUUACAUUCUCCCCCCCCCCUUAAGAACAUUCGUCCUCGAUUGUUCCUAAACACAGAAACACACAAAAAGGAGGAAACGAACCUUAAAACAGAUACGGAUACUACUGGAGCAUAGACUCCCGCAUCUCCCAGGUACACUCUUCUAAAUUAUGGUGGUUCCACAGGACUUUCACGAUUGGAAUUUCCUUGUUCCUUAGCUGUCUGAUCUGUGUGUCCAGAAUCCGCACUGGCUGUUCUCUAUAGGUGACAUCGCUAAGAAUCUCCACAUCAGGCUCACUCAGAACCUGAUUCGAAUCUGACACAAACUACCGUAGCAUCGAAACAUGAAAGACCGGGUGAAUUCUCUCCAUAGAAGCAGGUAAAUCUAGCUUAUACGACACAUUUCCGAUCCUCUGCAAAAUCUCAAAGGGUCCAAUGUACCGUGGCGCUAACUUACCUUUCUUUCCGAACCGAACCACUCCUUUCAUUGGAGACACCUUCAGCAAUACCAUACUACCCUCCUGGAAUUCUAUCUGCUUUCUGCGUACGUCCGCAUAGCUUUUCUGUCUACUCUGAGUUGUUCUGAUCCUCUCUCUGAUCACGGGCACCACUCUACUGGUGAUCUCUACUAACUCUUGCCCUGCAAGAGCCUUCUCUCCUACCUCUUCCUAGCAAACAGGUGAUCUGCACUUCCUCCCAUACAACGCUUCAUAAGGUGCCAUCCCGAUGCUAGCAUGAUGACUAUUAUUGUAGGCAAACUCCACCAGCGGUAGAUGCUGCCUCCAAGAACCGCCAAAGUCUAACACACACAUUCUGAGUAUAUCCUCAAUGGUCUGGAUGGUCCUCUCUGACUGUCCAUCAGUCUGCGGAUGGAAAGCAGUGCUAAAAUCCAAUCUCGUGCCCAUCGCACUCUGCAGACUUCGCCAAAAUUUCGAGGUGAAUUGAGGUCCUCUGUCUGACACUAUAGACACUGGAACUCCAUGUAGUCUCACUAUCUCAUCUAGAUAAACCUGUGCCAACUUAUCCACAAAAUAGUUACUCCUAACUGGAAUGAAAUGAGCAGAUUUCGUGAGUUUGUCCACAAUCACCCAUAUCGAGUCUAUCCUGUUGGACGCUGCCGAUAAGCCCACUACAAAAUCCAUGGCUAUGUUCUCCCAUUUCCACUCUGGAAUCGGCAGUGGGUUAAGCAUUCUAGCUGGCUUCUGAUGUUCCAGUUUCACCCUCUGACAAACCUCACAGGCUGUCACAAACUGUGCCACGUCUUUCUUCAUGGCUGGCCACCAAUAUACCCUCUUUAGAUCUUGAUACAUCUUGGUGGCUCCUGGGUGAACACUAUACCGCGCAUUAUGAGCUUUCCUCAUAAUGUCUUCCUUCAAAUUGCUACUAGCUGGUACACAAAGUCGACUCCCAUAGCGAAGGAUCCCUUUGCUAUCAAAUCUGAACUCUGCACUGUUGCCUGACUGAACAGUCCUGGCAAAUUUCAUCAAUUCAGGGUCCUCAUGCUGUUUCUGAGCUAUCUGCUCCAGAAACACAGGUGUCACUCUCAUCUGUGCUAUCAACGCACCCGUACCAGACAACUCUAGCUAUAACCCUUCCUCUAUGAGCUUAUAAAGCUCCAUCACUACUGGUCUCCGCUCUGCUGCUAUAUGGGAUAAACUGCCUAGUGACUUCCGGCUUAGGGCGUCUGCCACAACAUUCGCUUUACCCGGAUCAUACUGAAUCUUACAAUCAUAAUCACUGAGCAAUUCUACCCAUCUUCUCUGCCUCAAAUUUAGCUCUCUCUGGCUCAAGAUGUACUGUAAACUCUUAUGAUCAGUGAAGAUCUCACAUUUAACCCCAUAGAGGUAAUGCCGCCACAUCUUGAGUGCGAAGAUAACUGCUGCCAUCUCUAGGUCAUGGGUGGGGUAAUUCAACUCGUGCUUCUUCAACUGUCUAGAAGCAUAAGCAAUCACCCUAUCACUCUGCAUCAAAACACAACCCAAUCCCACUCGAGACGCAUCACAGAACACUGUGAAAUCCUCGUUACUAACAGGCAGAGCUAACACGGGGGCUGAUGUCAAUCUCCUCUUAAGCUCCUCAAAGCUCUCUUCACACUGGUCUGACCAGAUAAAUUUCUGGUUCUUCUGAGUCAGGUUGGUCAUAGGAGCAGCUAUCUUCGAGAAGUCCUGAACGAACCUCCUGUAGUAACCUGCCAGUCCCAAAAAGCUUUUAAUCUCAGUCAUUGUCGUGGGUCUGGACCAGUUAGCUACAGCCUCUAUCUUCUUGGGGUCUACCUCAAUCCCUUCUGCUGAUACCACGUGUCCCAAGAAGGAAAUGCUCCUCAACCAAAACUCACACUUAGAGAACUUGGCAUACAAACCAUGCUCUCUCAGUGUCUGCAGAACUAUCCUUAGAUGCUGGGCAUGCUCCUCUGCAUCUCUGGAAUACACUAAGAUGUCAUCGAUAAAAACAAUAACAAAGUGAUCCAGAUACUCGCUGAAAACUCUGUUCAUGAGAUCCAUGAAUGCUGCAGGGGCGUUAGUCAACCCGAACGGCAUCACUAAGAACUCAUAAUGCCCAUAUCUGGUCCUGAAAGCUGUCUUUGGCACAUCUGCCUCUCUGACUCUCAACUGAUAAUACUCGGAUCUCAGAUCUAUUUUAGAGAAACAUCCUACUCCAGCUAGCUGAUCAAAUAGAUCAUCAAUCCGAGGUAGAGGAUACCUAUUCUUGGUAGUGACCUUGUUCAACUGCCUGUAGUCGAUACAAAGUCUGAGGGAUCCAUCCUUCUUUCUGACAAAGAGCACUGGAGCACCCCAAGGUGAGGUACUAGAGCGGAUGAAACCCUUAUCUACCAACUCCUGCAACUGCUUUUUCAACUCUUGUAAUUCUGUUGGCGCCAUCCUGUAGGGAGGAAUAGAGAUAGGUCUGGUAUCUGGCAGCAAGUCUAUUUCAAACUCUAUCUCCCUAUCAGGUGGUAGUCCUGGUAAGUCGUUUGGGAACACAUCUGGAAAGUCUCGAACUACUGGUACUGCGGCUGGUUCCCUAACCGGACUAUCUAGCUCCCUCACAUGAGCUAGAAACCCCUGACAACCCCUCCUAAGCAAACGACGAGCCUGGAGGGUUGAAAUCAAACCUCUGGGUGUACCCCUCCUGUCUCCUCUGAAGACACACUUUGACCCAUCCUGGUCUCUGAGACUAACUACCUUCUCUCUACAGUCCAAGGUCGCACCAUAUGCAGAUAGCCAAUCCAUCCCUAGUAUGACAUCAAAAUCUGUCAAGUCUAGAAUCACAAGGUCAGCUGGAAGGUAUCUACCCUCUAUGAACACUGGACUGAAACGACAGACUGACACUACCAUUGAUGGGUCACAUUUGGGUCCACUGACCCAGAGAGGAUACUCUAACUCAGAAAUGAUCAAACCCAAUCUCUCUAUGGCUCUCGAAGCAAUAAAGGAAUGAGAAGCACCGGGGUCCAUCAAAGCAUACACAUCAGAACACCCUAUUAUGAGAUUACCUGACACCACUGUGUUCGACGUGUUAGCCUCCUCCUAUGUCAUAGUGAAAAUCCAUGCUGGGGCUACCGGAUUUCCACCUCGGGAACCUGCUGCGGAAGUAGAGGCUGCCCCUCUCCCUCUACCUCUGCCACUACUCUGAGGCAUGACUGGAGUUGCUGGCUGUACUACACUGCCUGAACUCAUCUGCUGGGAUGGUGCAAAAGUCACCUGAGGACAUUCCCGAGCAAAAUGCCCGUCCUGUCCACAUUUAAAACAGGCUGAAGAUCCCAACUGAUAAGCUCCCUUGUGUGGUCUCCCACAUCUUCUACAUACUGAACUGCUUGCGCCAGAGCUUACGCCACUACCUAUUCCCAGACCAGACUUGACUUUAUUCCAGAACUUACUCUUUGUUCCUUUUGCCUUUUCCCAUCUUUUGCUACCUGAAGUUGCUGCACUGGGGGCCUUAGAACCCGAAGCCUGUGCCUUUGACUGUCUCUAAAUAUUGGCACUUGCUUCCAUUUUCCUGGCUGCGUCCACUAUAGAGUGGAAACUCUCUUUUUCUACUGGAAGAAUCAAGGAAGAAUACCUGGGAUGCAAUCUCAUAGUAUAUCUCCUUGCCUUCUUUUGAUCAGUAUCAUAGGCUUGACCCACAUACUGAAGCAAAUCCAGGAACUUAUCUGUGAAUUCAUCAAUACUCAUCUCAUCCGUCUGUUGCAACUGUUCAAAUUCUAUUAUUUUCAUCUCUCUGGAACUGUCAGGAAAAGCCCACCCUGCAAACUCAUUGGCGAACUCUCCCCAUGACAUACUGGCCAUCCUGGGCUCCAUAUAGUUCUUAAACCAUUCUCGAGCCUUCUUACACUUAAGUGUAAACCCCGCCAUUUCUAUUGCUCUACUAUCAUCUGCUCCCAACUCAUCAGUGAUCAUCUUCACAGUUCGAAGAUACUCAAAUGGAUCAUCUCCUGGAUUAAAUUUAGGAGCAUCCAAUUUCAAGUACUCUGUCAUUUGCACCUUACCUCCAGAUGAGCUAGGUUGAUGUCUUUCACCAACAGGGGCGACUGGUUCUGGUUGUGGUGGUGGAGGUACUGGUUCAUUUAGCUCUGGGUGUGCUACACUUGGAUGAGUAGGGGAAGGUGGGUACAUAGGAUAUGGUGGAUAGUAAUGAGGAUAAGGCAUAUAUGGCAUGUAAGUAGGAUAUGGGGCAAAACUAGAGUACUCCGACAUACCUCCCAGCGGAUACUCUAGGUCCUGAGGAAAGGCUGGAUAACCAAACCCUGAGGUCUGAGCGCCUCCCUGCGACUCUCCCAUACCUUCUUCAGAUCUGCCUACACUCAUGCUUUCAUACAUAGACUGGUCAAGCUCCAUAGCCUCCCUCACUUCCUCUGAUCUUCCUCCUCUAACUGUACCUCUUCUGCUCUCGUCUACAGACCUUCUAGGGUCUAUUAACAUACCUUCCCUGCUAGAUCUUUGAGACCUUGCCCUUGGCAAUGCAGGAGAACGAGCAUCUAUGCUCUCACUAUCUGGUGGGACUCCAGUCAAUCGAGCUGAUCGACGAGUUCCUCGCAUGUUAACUCUGGAAAACCAACAAAUAACACAGCACAUCAGCAAGUAAGCAUCACCUAUCAAGAAUGCACAUGCAUAUCAUGGCAUUAUAACAGUAAAUAGACAGGACACAACAUCCUAUCCUAGUGGACAUGAUUCCCUAUUGUGCUUGACUUCCUCUAACCUCUAUGAGCCCGACACUCUCUCUAUAGGUCCGAUCAUAUGAACCUAGGGCUCUGAUACCAAUCUGUAACGACCCCAAAAUGGACCGUCACCGGCGCUAGGAUUUAGAUCGGCUUAAGGCCGCCAGAACCCAUAGCAAGCCUGCUAUACUCUCUGAGUACCUGUAACAUCUCAUACAUGGUCAUACAGUUUCUGUGCAAAUCAAACCUUUUCUCUGGACCAAGACUUAACCUGUGCAUGCACUAUUUCUGUACUCUGUACCCCUGAUUAGAGCUUGCUCUAGAUGGGUGGAUUCAUACCUGUUAAGCCUGGUUAUUUUCACAUAUUCUGUAAACUAGUGAUAGAAACAGACCAUGUAUAAAAAAGAUUUACAACACAAAUAUAACUACGUCAAGCACAAGGCUAACGUUAUACACAACUACUACAUCUCUUUAAUAUUACAUGUCCACAAUAAGCUAUUAAAACACACUUCUCUCUUCCUGUAUCCUGCUGGACCUCACCUGCACACUUUACAUUGAACCUGCAAAACUUGGGUUAAGGGAGUGGGAUGAGCUCUAUAGCCCAGUGAGUAGAACAGUAAAGAGGUCAUUAACACAUGCUCUUAUGGAAUGCAUCAUAUCACAGACAAUUCACAUCAAGGGUAAACCUGUCACCACAUAGUCCCAGUAACUGUUCCGUGCAAGGCCGUAGACUGGGGUCCUGGUCUUCCUGUCCUGUAUAUGUAUAUGUGUAUAUAACACCUGUACUUACCAUUUGCCAGGGCGUAGACUGGGCACCUAGUCUUUACUAUACCUGCUAGGCCGUAGAAUGGGGUCCUGGACUUUUCUAUACUUGCCAGGCCGUAGAAUGGGGUCCUGGACUUCCUGUCUGGAACUAUUGGAUCAUUCAGCAUUCACCCACAUCAACAAAUAAGUAUGCAAUGCAACAUCUUCAUAGAUUCUAAUGCAAUCAACCUAUGGCAUAAGUAUGGUGUAUGAAAUAUGUGAAAAGCAUUCAAUGUCUCAAUUAAAACAAGUAUUAAGUUUAGUUCCACUCACCUCUGGCUAUCUGGACUGACUCUGCAGGCUUUGUAAACUCUGGAGCAGUACUCACUGCUGCUCUCUCUGAUUCCUCUGGUCUGUGCCUACACAAAUAGACUCCAAUGAGGGACCAAAACUAGCUUAUGCACUCUAUUACACUCCCCAAGAAUCCCCUUAAACUCACUCAAACAUCCAUCCAAAGCAUGCAAAGGAAAACUGGAUAGGACACUUUCGGCGGCAGGUUCGGCGGCCGAAAGUCCUCUCCAGAGCCGAAACUCAUGCACCUUCGGCAGCCGAACCCUUUCGGGGGCAAGUUUCGGGGACCGAAAGGCACUCCAGAGAUGAAAGUCUCUAACCUUCGGGGGCACCUUCGGCGGCCGAAACCCCCCUCUAGAGCCGAAAGUCUAAAGGCUCGGGGGCAAGCUUAGGCAACCGAAGCCACCUCCUCAGCACAUUCGGCGGCCGAACCUUUCUUCGGUGGCCGAAGCUGGGUUCAUCAGUAAGGCAGAACCUUGCUCUGCCUCACGCCAAAAUGCACCAAUCUUCCUCCAACUCAAACACCUCAACUCCUCAACAUGCAUACACCCAAGUAUAUGCUCAAAGGGGUCAGAACCUACCUGAAAACCCCAACAACACAAAACAUAUAACACAUAUACAAGCUUUUCUCACAAAAAUAUCAAAAACACUCUCUUUUACCCUAAUCAUGCAACUCUCCCCCAAAACCUCAAAACUCUUCCAAAAAGCAUAAAAACAAGUGGAGGAUCUUCACUUACCUCUUGAAACCAAGAAGAUGAACGAUCCUAACGUGGAGUUUGAAGCAACUCUCCUUCAAACUCUCCAAACUUCAAAAUCUCAAGUGUUUAGCUCAAAAACUUUAAAAGAACAUCAAAAUCAAUCAAAUCUUUGCAUGAGUUGAUGAAAACAUGAAGAAAACUUAAGAAGGACAGGGUCUCACCUCAGAAAUUGAAAAGAAGCGGUAAAGCUUAUCCUUUCAACCGACUGAGGGCCUUUUAUAGGUGGCUGGCCAGAACACCUUCGGCGGCCACACGUGAAACCGAAAGCCAUGCAUGUUCGGCGGCCGAAUGUCACCUUCGGUGGCCGAACCUGGCUUUUCUGCCUUUAUUCUUUUCUCUCAAAAACUCGGUUCUUUUAAACUUGAAAACAUUAAAACAUACUACAUUACUUUAAACAAAACAUAAAACUCACCCUUCUCAAGAUUCUGACAUCCUGGAUUCCACCGGACGAUAGGAAUUCCGAUGCCGGACUCUAGCCGGGUAUUACAUUUAUGCAUAUUGAGCUGAGUUUUUGCCCUUUGGGAAGAACUCAGGUUCGGCAGCCGAAGGCUCUUUCGGCCGCCGAACCUGCCUGUGGAGGCCAACUUUUAGCUGCCGAACCCUGCCCCCGAAAGUGGACUUUCGGCUCUGGAAGGGACUUUCGGCAGCCGAAGGUGCCGCCGAACAUGCAUGAGUUUCGUCUCUGGAGGGAACCUUCGGCCGCCGAAAGUGCCGCCGAAGGUGCAUGACUUUCGGCUCUGGAGGGCCUUUCGGCCGCCGAACCUGCCGCCGAAAGUGCCCUGUUCAGCCCUCCUUUGCAUGAUUUCUAUGAUUGUUUUAAGGUAUUUUAGGGGGUUUUUGGGGAGUAUUCUAGAGUCAUGUUUAUGUAUGUUAGGUCCCUCAUUUGAGUCCACCUGUGUAGGUUUGGACCCGAGGAACCGAGGACCCCAGCAGUGAGUCAGUCGCUUCAGAGUCAUUAGAGCUUCAGCCAGAGGUGAGUAGAAUAAACACUUAUGUUUUAAAGCAAAUAAAUAUAGAUUUGAGCAUGUUCAUGCAUCACGAAUGCCAUGUGAUAUUCUAGGUUGUCUGCAUUAGAAUUCACGAAUAUGUUGCAUUGCAUAAUUUGAUGAUGAUGUGGAUGGAUGUUGGAUGAUCCUUAGUCCUCAAUAUGAUACGAUGUAAUAUGAUACGGUAUGAUAUGGUAUGGAAGUCCGAUUGACCCAUUCUACAUCCCGGCACUAUGUAAGAGAAAGACCGGUUGACCCAUUCUACGUCCCAACACGUUGGAAUGUUAUGAUAUGUUAUGUUUAAGAGAAAGACCGGUUGACCCAUUCUACAUCCCGGCACCUUGGAAUGUAGAGGACUAUUGGUGACAAUACCAUCCUUGAUGUGAAUUGUUUGUGAUGUGUUGCAUCUCAUGAAAGCAUGAAAUUUAAAGUGAAUGUUUAUUUAUUCUGCUCACUGGGCUUUAUAGCUCACCCCUCUCCCUUAACCCCCCCAGGUUUGCAGGUACAGGGUAGACUAAUAGCUCAGCAGGAGUAGAGUCAUGUAUUAUGAAAUAGCUAGAUGUGGACAUGGAUUUGAUGUAAUGUAAAAGUAUGAUAUAGAAAUGUUAUGUAAUGAUGCUUAUGAAAGUUUAGAGUUGUGCUUGACCAUAGUAUUAUGUUAAUCCCUUUCUAGUACAUGAUCUUCUUGUUUAAUGAUGAUUAUUGUAAACCAAACUUAAUUUAUAUUAUGUCACCCCAUUGGAGCAUUGAUGAGGACUCCAAGGUGGGGUUAAUGUUUAUGUUUAUGAAUAGUGCAUGCACAGGUUGAGUUUGGUGAUUGAAUGGAAAGAAAAGUUCAAAAUUUUUGUGUAUGUUGUUGAUCAUGUAUGGGAUUAAACAGGUUCACAGGAUGAAUGUUUGGCUUGCUACGGGUCUCGGCGGCCUUAAGCCGAUCUGGAUCCUAGCGCCGGUAGCGGUCCGAUUUUCGGGUCGUUACAGAUUGGUAUCAGAGCCCUAAGUUCAUAUGGUCGGACCUAGAGUGUCGGGCUCAUAAAUGUUCUAGAAGGUCAAGCACAAUAGGAAAACCAUGUUCACUAGGAUAGGAUGAAGAGUCAUGUCUUGAAUGAUGAUGUGAAAUGCCAUGAUUUUAUGCAUGUGCAUUAAUGAUAUGCUAUGUAUGUGAUGUAUGUGAUGCGGGUUCAUGUGCUUCCACAUGAACCAUUUGAUGCUAAUGUUCUAUGUGAUGUAUGUUGUUUUUCAGAAAAACAGGAUGAGAGGAACUUGUCGAUCGGCACGAUUGACUGGAGUACCACCCUAGGACGAGGGCACUGAUGUCCGUCCUCCUGCAUUGCCUAGGGCAAUGUCAAGUAGGUCCAGCAGAGAAAGAGCAGUAAGAGACCCUAGAAGGUCUUUGGAUCUGGGUAGAAGCAGGUCAGUGAGGGGAACAGUGCAAGGGGAUAUGUCAGAGGAUGUGGGGGAUCAGAUGGAUGUGGAUCAGAGGAGGGAAGGCAGUCUCAGAGUAAGUAUGUCGGAAGAGGGAAUGGGAGAGUCCCAAGGAGGCACUCAGGCCUCGGGAUUUGUUCAGCCACCUUACUACCCACCCUUUUCACAUAAUCCCGGGUAUUCGAUGGGAGGUACAUCGGAUUUUCCCAGUUUUAACCCUUAUCACUCUCAGAUGCCAUACCCACCUUUCUACCCACCGUACCCACAGUACCCAAUGUAUCCACCCCCACCCUACCAUCCAGGUACAGCAAACCCUACCCCAGGGGAUGUUGCACCUCCUCCACCACCAGCAACACCUACUGUCCCAGAAACCCAAAUGCCCAAACCUAGCUCAUCUGGGGGGGGCAAGGUCAAGAUGACCGAUUACAUGAAGCUGGGUGCUCCCCAGUUGGAAACCGGUGAUGACCCGUUUGUGUACCUCGAAAGGGUUAAGACAAUUACAGAUGAGAUAGGAGCUGAUGACAGUAGAGCCAUUCAGAUGGCUGGGUUCACACUAAAAUGCAAGAAGGCCCGAGAAUGGUUUAAGAACUAUGUGAACCCGAGGUUGGACAGCCUAUCAUGGGAGGAGUUUGCAAAUGAGUUUGCAGGAUGGGCUUUUCCUAACAGUUCAAGAGAAUUGAAGAUGAUUGAGUUUGAACAGCUGAGGCAGACGGAUGAGAUGAGUGUGGAUGAGUUCACAGACAGGUUUUUGGAGCUGUUGCCGUAUGCCGGGCAAAAUCUGGAUACAGAUCAGAAAAAGUCAAGGAGGUAUAUUAUGAAGCUCCAUUCCAGGUAUUCCUCCUUGAUUCAGUCAACAGAAAGGGAGAGUUUCCAUGCCAUAGUGGAUAUGGCUCGGAGGUGGAGGCUAGUGCUAUCAUCAAAGGGAAAGUCAAGCAGUUAGUGGCACAGCCUUCUGGUUCCAAGACCCCAGGUGGGGGAAAGUUAGACCCUUCUUCUCUGAGUUCAGGCAGUAAGAGGUGGGGCAACACCACUAGGAAGCCAAAGAAGAACAAGUUCUAGAGCAAGAUCAAGUCAGGUCUGGGAUUAGGAGGUGGCUCGAGCUCAAGUGCAGAUAAUGCAGUAUGCAAGAAGUGUGGAAAGCCGCACAAAGGAGUAUGUCUGGUUGGGACGACAGCCUGCUUCAGAUGUGGGCAGGAGGGACACAUGGCACGGGAGUGUCCUAGGGCAGCUUUUGUGGCAUAGUCUCAGUAGACAGCCUCUGGUAGUAUGGCUCUGUAAUACCCGGCUGAACUCCAGUAUCGGGAUUCCUACCAUCCGGUGGAAUCUCGGGUGUCGGAGACCUCUAGAAGGGUAAAAACCAUGUUUUCAUAAAAUGUUUUAAUGUGUUUUAUGUUUUAAGCAUGAAAGAAAAUGAGUUUUUGCAUGAAAACAACCUUGGAGGAAAACUCAGGUUCGGCCGCCGAACAUGCAUGUGUUUCGGGUGUGCUUUAGGCCCCCGAAGGCAUAAGUGAGGGAAGUCCAGGUUCGACCGCCGAACCUUAUGUUCGGCCGCCGAACAUGGCAUGCAUGCGGAGGCACGUUCGGCUCCCGAAUGUGGCCUGGCCAGCCACCUAUAAAGGGGUCCCUUAGCCGAAAACGGGCGAGUUUUUCUCCCCAUUUUCGGCCAAGGUGAGCUCUCCACCGUCCCUCACCGAUCUUUAGUUUCUUCCUUCCAUUCUUCAUGAUUUUUAUGAGUUUUCACCUUCGUUUUGAAGAUUUCCAAGUAUAAAGCAAGUUUUGGAGCUUUAAGGUUCAAGGAACUCUCUCUCUCCCAUUUUCCGAGCUAGGGUCGUUCUCCUCUCGAUCUUCAAGAGGUAAGGGCCGAUCUUGAGCUUAUUGCAUGUUUUAAGUAAGUUUUAAGUAGAUCUAUGGGGUAGAAUGCAUGUUUAGCUUAUGGUUAGGUUAUGGGUUUAUGUUAUGUUUUUGGGCAAUGUGGAUGUUUGAUGUGUUGUAGAUGGGGUUUAAGAUAGUUUGAAGCCCCUAGGAACUUGUAUGCUUGAGUAUGUAUGAUUGUAGAUUAGGAAAAAUGCAUGUUUGGAUGGUUUUGGGAGGCAAAUGUGCAUGAGGAGCCAAGUUUCUGCCCUUUGACAGAAACCAGGUUCGGCAGCCGAAGGACUUUCGGCCGCCGAACCUGCCAGGGAGGCCAGCCUUUCGGCUGCCGAAGCCUGCCCCCGAAAAGAGACUUUCAUCUCUGGAGGGCACUUUCGGCCGCCGAAGGUGCCGCCGAACCUGUCUGGCUUUCGGCUCUGGAGGGACUUUCGGCCGCCGAACCUGCCGCCGAAAGUGCCCUGUUCAGCCUCCCUUUGCAUGUUUUCCAUGGAUGAUUUGAGGUGUUUUAGGGGGUUUUUGGGGAGUAUUUUUAGAGUUAUGUUCUAGUAUGUUUGGUCCCUCAUUUGAGUCCACCUUUGUAGGUUCGGACCCGAGGAACCGAGGACCCCAGCAGUGACAGCUGCUUCAGAGUCUUGUCAGAGUCAGCCAGAGGCGAGUAGAAUAAACUCUUACGUUUUAAAUAAAUGAAAAACUUUAGCAUGAAUCAUGCAUCAUGAAUGCCAUGUGAUAUCCUAGGUUGAUUGCAUUAGAAUUCACGAAUAUGUUGCAUUGCAUAUCUUGAUGUUGAUGUGGAUGGAUGUUGGAUGACCCAUUGGUCCUCAGUAUGACGAGACACGAUAUGAUAUGAUAUGGAAGAUCAGGUGUGGCCUGCACUACGCCCCUGACACUAUGUAAGUGAAAGUCUGGGUGUGGCCUGCACUACGCCCCCGGCACAGUUGGACAUGUAUGUUAUGAUAUAUGUAAGAGAAAGACCAGGUGUGGCCUGCACUACGCCCCUGGCACAGUUGGACUAUGUAGAGGGCCCUUGGUGACAAGUCCAUCCUUGAUGUGAUAUGGUUGUGAUGUGAUGCAUUACAUGAUAGCAUGUGUUUUAAAUGCUUUAUUAUUCUGCUCACUGGGCUCUAGUAGCUCACCCCUUUCCCCUUAUCCCCCAGGUUUGCAGGUACAGGGUAGACCAGGAAGUCAGCAGGAGUAAAGUUAUUUUUAUGUAAUAGUUAGAAGUUGUGGACAUGAUGAAAUUGUAAUGUAAUGUUCUAUGUAGUCAUGAUAUGUAAAAUGAUAUUGAGGAUUAGAGGUUGUGCUUGACCCUAUGUAUAUGGUAUCCCUUUAAUGCAUGAUCACUAUUAUUAUUGAUGAGAUGAGUAAUCAAGCUUAAUGUAUGUUAUUGAUUACCCCAUUGGAGCAUGUGAUGAGAGCUCCAGUGUGAGGUUUAUGGUUAUGUUAGUGUGCAUGCACAGGUUAAGCUUGAUUUAUGAAAGAAAAAGUUUACAUGUUUAUGUAUUUGUAUGAUCAUGUAUGGGAUUACACGGGUUUACAGGUUGUAUGUCAGGCUUGCUACGGGUCCCGGCGGCCUUAAGCCGAUCUGGAUCCUAGCGCCGGUAGCGGUCUGAUUUUCAGGUCGUUACAGGCUCAACCAGUAGCUCCAGCCGCGACUCAGGCUAGUGGCAGAGGCAGAGGAAGAGGGGCAGCCUCUUCUUCAGCGGGUUUCAGGGGUGAGGGCCCGUCAGCUCCAGCACGAAUCUUCACCAUGACUCAGCAGGAGGCAAACACAUCCAACACCGUGGUGUCAGGUAAUCUCAUCAUUGGUUGUUCUGAUGUGUAUGCAUUAAUGGACCCUGGUGCAUCUCAUUCUUUCAUUGCUCCGAGGGCCAUCGAGAGGUUGGGAUUGAUGGUCUCUGGGUUAGAGUGUCCCCUAUGGGUCAGUGGACCCAAGUGUGACCCGUCAGUGGCAGAGUCAGUCUCCCAGUGUAGUCUAAUUUUUGUGGAGGGAAGAUGCCUGUCUGCCGACCUUGUGGUUCUAGAUUUGAUAGAUUUUGACGUCCUUCUAGGGAUGGAUUGGCUACCUACCCAUGGUGCUACCUUGGAUUACAGAGACAAGGUAGUCAGGUUCAGAUGUCAGGAUGGGUCAGAGGUUGUCUUCAGAGGAGACAGGGGGAGUACACCUAGAGGUUUGAUAUCAGCCCUACAGGCUCGUAGGCUCCUCAGGAGGGGUUGUCAGGGUUUUCUAGCUCAUGUGAGAGAGCUGGAUAGUCAUGUCAGAGAGCCCGCCUCAGUGCCAGUGGUCAGAGAGUUCUUAGAUGUUUUUCCAGACGAGCUGCCAGGUUUACCACCUGCUAGGGAGAUAGAGUUUGAAAUUGAAUUGAUGCCUGGAACUAGACCGAUCUCUAUCCCUCCCUACAGGAUGGCACCAGCAGAAUUGAAGGAGCUUAAGGAGCAGUUGUAAGAGUUGGUAGAUAGAGGAUUCAUCUGACCGAGUACCUCACCUUGGGGUGCUCCAGUGCUAUUUGUGAAAAAGAAGGAUGGAUCUCUCAGACUUUGUAUCGACUACAGGCAGUUGAACAAGGUCACUACCAAGAAUAAGUACCCGUUGCCAAGGAUCGACGAUCUAUUCGACCAGCUAGUAGGAGUAGGUUGUUUCUCCAAAAUAGAUCUGAGGUCGGGGUACCAUCAGCUGAGGAUAAGAGAAGAGGAUGUACCGAAGACAGCUUUCAGGACCAGAUAUGGGCAUUAUGAGUUCCUUGUGAUGCCGUUCGGGUUAACCAACGCCCCUGCAGCAUUCAUGGAUCUCAUGAACAGAGUGUUUAGCCAGUACCUGGAUCACUUUGUUAUUGUCUUCAUAGAUGAUAUCUUAGUGUAUUCCAGGAAUGCAGAGGAGCAUGCCCAUCAUCUGAGGUUAGUUCUGCAGACCUUGAGGGAACAUGGCUUGUAUGCCAAGUUCUCCAAGUGUGAGUUCUGGCUGAGGAGCAUCUCUUUCUUGGGGCAUGUGGUGUCAGAAAAUGGAAUGGAGGUAGACCCCAAGAAAGUGGAAGCUGUAGCUAACUGGCCUAGACCCACUAUAGUGACAGAGAUCAAAAGCUUCUUGGGCUUGGCAGGUUACUACAGGAGGUUCGUUCAGGACUUCUCUAAGAUUGCAGCUCCCAUGACCAGAUUGACUAAGAAGAACCAGAGGUUCGUGUGGACCGAGCAGUGCGAAGAGAGCUUUGAGGAGCUAAAGAAGAGGUUGACUUCAGCACCAGUGUUAGCUCUGCCAGCUAGUAAUGAAGACUUCUUAGUGUAUUGUGAUGCGUCCCAUGUGGGACUGGGUUGUGUGCUAAUGCAGAAUGAAAGGGUGAUUGCUUAUGCUUCUAGACAGCUAAAGAAGCACGAGUUGAAUUACCCUACACAUGACCUAGAAAUGGCAGCAGUAAUCUUUGCACUCAAGAUGUGGAGGCAUUACCUUUAUGGGGUAAAAUGUGAGAUCUUCACAGAUCAUAAGAGCCUGCAGUACAUCCUGAGUCAGAGAAAGCUGAAUUUGAGACAGAGAAGAUGGGUAGAACUGCUAAGUGACUACGAUUGCAAGAUCCAGUACCAUCCGGGUAAGGCGAAUGUUGUGGCAGAUGCCUUAAGCCGGAAAUCACUUGGUAGUUUGUCCCAUAUUUCAGCAGAGAGGAGGCCAAUAGUGAGGGAGUUCUUCGAGCUCAUCAAUGAAGGUCUACAGUUGGAGUUGUCUGGUACAGAUGCUUUGAUAGCCCAAAUGAGAGUGGCACCCGUGUUUCUAGAGCAGGUGGCUCAGAAACAGUACGAGGACCCAGAGUUAGUGAAGAUUGCCAGGACUGUUCAGUCAGGCAAGAACGAAGAGUUCAGAUUUGACAACAAGAGGAUCCUCUGCUAUGGAAACAGAUUGUGUGUACUAGAUGACGUAGGGCUGAAGGGAGACAUUAUGAGAGAGGCUCAUAAUGCCAGAUACAGCGUUCACCCUGGAGCCACCAAGAUGUAUCAAGAUCUAAAGAAGGUUUAUUGGUGGCCAGCUAUGAAAAGAGAAGUGGCACAGUUUUUGUCAGCCUGCGAAGUGUGUCAGAGGGUGAAGCUGGAACAUCAGAAGCCGACUGGAAUGCUUAACCCACUACCUAUUCCAGAGUGGAAAUGGGAGAAUAUAGCUAUGGACUUCGUGGUGGGGUUACCGGCAACGUCCAAUAGAUUAGACUCCACAUGGGUGAUUGUGGACAGACUCACCAAUUCUGCUCACUUCAUCCCUGUCAGGAGUGGCUAUUCUGUGGACAAAUUGGCGCAGGUGUAUGUUGAUGAGGUUGUCAGACUGCAUGGGGUUCCUGUUUCAAUAGUGUCUGAUCGAGGGCCCCAGUUCACCUCUAGGUUUUGGCGGAGUCUGCAGAACGCUAUGGGUACCAGGUUGGAUUUUAGCACUGCUUUCCAUCCACAGACGGACGGACAAUCAGAGAGGACCAUCCAAACAAUAGAAGAUAUGCUUAGAAUGUGCUGGAUUUUGGCGGUUCUUGGAGGCAGCAUCUACCUUUGGUGGAGUUCGCCUACAAUAACAGCCAUCAUGCUAGCAUCGGGAUGGCUCCAUAUGAAGCUUUAUAUGGGAGGAAGUGCAAGUCACCUGUCUGCUGGGAAGAAGUUGGAGAAAAGGCCUUGGCAGGGCCUGAGCUAGUAAAGAUCACCAGCAGAGUGGUGCCCAUAAUCAGAGAAAGAAUCAAGACUGCUGCAAGCAGACAAAAGAGAUAUGCAGAUAUCCGCAGAAGGCAAGUAGAGUUUCAGGAGGGGGAUUUGGUAUUGCUCAGAGUGUCUCCAAUGAAAGGGGUGAUUUGGUUUGGGAAGAAAGGUAAACUAGCUCCACGGUACAUCGGACCCUUCGAGAUCUUACAGAAGGUUGGGAAUGUAUCGUACAAGCUGGAUUUACCUGCUUCAAUGGAAAGAAUCCAUCCGGUUUUCCAUAUUUUCAUGUUAAGGAAGUUCGUGUCAGAUCCAGGCAAGUUUCUUAGUGAGCCUGAUGUGGAGAUCCAAGAGGAUCUCACUUAUGUUGAACAGCCAGUACGGAUCCUAGACACCCAGAUCAGAAAGCUAAGGAACAAGGAAAUCCCGAUGGUGAAAGUCCUUUGGAAUCACAACAACAUCGAAGAGUGUACCUGGGAGACACGGGAGUCUAUGCUCCGGCAAUAUCCUCAUCUCUUCUAAGGUGAGUUUCAUGUGCUUUGUUGUGUGUUUAUGUUUUUAUGCCAUGCUAUGUUUGUUUGGUGAACAUUCGGGGACGAAUGUUCUUAAGCGGGGAAGAAUGUAAUACCCGGCUAGACUCCGGUAUCGGAGUUCCUACCGUCCAGUGGAAUCUCGGAUGUCGGAAACCUCUAGAAGGGUAAAAUCAUGUUUUUAUAAAAUGUUUUAAUGUAUCUUAUGGUUUUAAGCAAAAAGGAAAUUGAGUUUUAAAAGAAAAAGACCAAGGAGACAUUUCCAGGUUCGGCCGCCGAACCUCAAGUUCGGCCGCCGAACGUGGAAUGGUUUAGGGGGGCAAGUUAGGCUUCCGAAAGUUUCAAAGGUUCGGCCGCCGAACUUGCAUGAGUUUUGGAGGCACUUUAGGCUGCCGAAAGGUGGUCUGCCAGCCCCUAUAUAAGAGCUCCAUGGCCGAAACGAGCGAGUUUUCUCCCCAUUUUCGGCCACGGUGAGUUCUUGCUCUCCCAUGGUUCAUUUUAGAUGUUUUUCCUUCGAUCUUUCAUGUUUUAACAAGCUUUAU